UACGGAGGUGGCAAGCGUUGCUCGGAAUCACUGGGCGUAAAGGGCGCGUAGGCGGGGAGGUAAGUCGGGUGUGAAAUCCCUCGGCCCAACUGAGGAACUGCGCCCGAGACUGCUUCUCUUGAGUCCCGGAGAGGAAGAUGGAAUUCCCGGUGUAGCGGUGAAAUGUGUAGAGAUCGGGAGGAACACCGGUGGCGAAGGCGGCGACCUGGGCCAAUACUGACGCUGAGGUGCGAAAGCGUGGGGAGCAAACAGG
RNAcentral lists this ribosomal RNA (253 nucleotides) under uncultured bacterium. Its description in RNAcentral is "partial 16S ribosomal RNA". It matches the Rfam family "Bacterial small subunit ribosomal RNA", at positions 524 to 776 of the family's 1533-position model. The record is from RNAcentral.